CAAAAACAUCGCCUCUUGCAAACUUAAUAAAUAAGAGGUCCCGCCUGCCCUGUGACUAUUAGUUUAACGGCCGCGGUAUUUUGACCGUGCGAAGGUAGCGCAAUCACUUGUCUUUUAAAUGAAGACCUGUAUGAAUGGCAUAACGAGGGCUUAACUGUCUCCUCUUUCCAGUCAAUGAAAUUGAUCUUUCCGUGCAGAAGCGGGAAUGAAAACAUAAGACGAGAAGACCCUAUGGAGCUUUAGACACCAAGGCAGAUCAUGUUAAUAACCCUGAAUAAAGGACUAAACCAAAUGGAACCUGCCCUAAUGUCUUUGGUUGGGGCGACCGCGGGGAAUUAGAAAACCCCCACGUGGAAUGGGAGCACCCCUCCUACAGCUAAGAGCAACAGCUCUAGUAAACAGAAAUUCUGACCAGUAAGAUCCGGCAAUGCCGAUCAACGGACCGAGUUACCCUAGGGAUAACAGCGCAAUCCUCUUUUAGAGCCCAUAUCGACAAGGGGGUUUACGACCUCGAUGUUGGAUCAGGACAUCCUAAUGGUGCAGCCGCUAUUAAGGGUUCGUUUGUUCAACGAUUAAAGUCCUACGUGAUCUG
This 592-nucleotide ribosomal RNA is filed under the name Bryozoichthys lysimus (nutcracker prickleback). RNAcentral describes it as "partial 16S ribosomal RNA". It matches the Rfam family "Bacterial large subunit ribosomal RNA", at positions 1808 to 2607 of the family's 2925-position model. The record is from RNAcentral. Lineage: Eukaryota; Metazoa; Chordata; Actinopteri; Perciformes; Stichaeidae.